Molecule: long non-coding RNA, 668 nt
Filed under: Arabidopsis lyrata
Lineage: Eukaryota; Viridiplantae; Streptophyta; Magnoliopsida; Brassicales; Brassicaceae
Description: long non-coding RNA (ALYR_LNC002104)
Source: RNAcentral
CUAUCCUAAAAGCACGGACCAAGUUGCUUCAUUCCCUACACCCAAUCUUAGGCAUAUCAACUCACCAAUAGGGUUGAUACAAAGUUGGAGUAAGAAGCCAGGUUUCUAUCCUCCAACCAGUUCUUGGCAACAUCUCCAUUGUAUGAGAACCUAAAGCAGAGACCCAAAAAAAAAACAGAGCAAUUAAAAAAAGAAGAAUUGACAUUCUCGUUAAAAGAAGGUCAACGAAAUUGCUUGCCAACAAUAUAGAUUUAGAACACUACAUUACAAUUGAAGCUAAAGUGUUUAACUAAAAAUACGCACAGAACUGAUUUUGGCUAAACCCUAAUUGAAAAACCCACAUACAGAAACAGAAUCAAAAUGUGGGUAGAAGAAUCUCAAGAAAGAAAAAUUAGCAGAGAAAAUCUUACUCUUUGGAGAAGAUAAAUCUGGAAGGAAGCUCAAAAGAAGUGAAGCCAUUGGGCGUGGUAACAGUAUUAGGGGUGGGAAAAGGCUAAAGGGUUAAACCCUAAGAGAGAGAGAAUUAAGAGUUAAGAGUGUAUUUAAGUAAAAGUAAUGAUCUUUGGCGAGCGGCGUGCUUACAGUUCUGCACAGAGCACAUUUAUCAAUGAAUGUGAGAGACAGACAGAGUGAGACUCUUUGUUUUUUGGUUUCGACGUUUCCUGAUU